UUUCUGUCUUGAGGUUAUGAGGUAUGAGCUGUAGUUUGGCAGGUAUGAGCUGUAGUUUGGCAGGUAUGAGCUGUAGUUUGGCAGGUAUGAGCUGUAGUUUGGCAGGUAUGAGCUGUAGUUUGGCAGGUAUGAGCUGUAGUUUGGCAGGUAUGAGCUGUAGUUUGGCAGGUAUGAGCUGUAGUUUGGCAGGUAUGAGCUGUAGUUUGGCAGGUAU
Astyanax mexicanus (Mexican tetra) is the source of this 214-nucleotide long non-coding RNA. RefSeq lists it as uncharacterized. The record is from RefSeq and is a predicted model, not a curated record. NCBI's taxonomy places the organism in Eukaryota, Metazoa, Chordata, Actinopteri, Characiformes, Acestrorhamphidae. The transcript has 3 exons.